Symphalangus syndactylus (siamang) is the source of this 1259-nucleotide RNA transcript. It is a transcript of the gene named magnesium dependent phosphatase 1, with no coding region annotated. The record is from RefSeq and is a predicted model, not a curated record. Lineage: Eukaryota; Metazoa; Chordata; Mammalia; Primates; Hylobatidae.
AUGAUGGAAACCUUCGGAGUGAAUUAUCUCUCACUGUGGCUCUACUGGACAUUUAGGCCUGGUUGGAGAACGCCUUCAAGGGUUUGGCUGACACUGCACUCUAUGGCUGGAAUAUUACUGAGGACUUUGGGUUCUACACUAUCAAGAGGUUGAUAAUGCAGAAAGAUUGAGUGACAAGCUGUGAUGUAUCACUUGGGUCUCAAGAAGAGGCAGGUGCUAGAAGAAAAGGCUUUCCUUUUUCCCUGGCUUCUUAGUAUAAUAGAAUCGGGCAAGGCUGGGUGGAGUGGAGAAGUAGGGAGGAUGCCCGUGGCCAAUGCCUUGAAGAGACUUCACUGCUGUGGUUGCAUGUGCGGUCGUGUUGGUACCUCGCUGCAAUCUUCUUCCCCGCCCAGCAUCAGAUGGCACUCUUGCGCCAUCUCCAGGCUGAUGACGCCCCGAGUGGCGACGCUCUAGUCGCCAGUUUAUGGCAGGCAGAGUGGCCGCCUUAGCUGCCGGAGGUUCCGCGCUCUCUACGGCCCUGGGUGAAGCCCCACCUCUGCUGCGCGCAGCCUGCGGUGCGGGUCAUGGCGCGGCUACCGAAGCUGGCAGUCUUUGAUUUGGAUUACACUCUCUGGCCUUUCUGGGUCGACACGCACGUAGACCCUCCGUUCCAUAAGAGCAGUAAUGGAACUGUACGAGAUAGGCGGGGCCAAGACGUCCGACUGUACCCAGAGGUGCCUGAGGUCCUAAAACGACUGCAGAGCCUUGGGGUGCCCGGUGCGGCUGCUUCAAGGACAAGUGAGAUAGAAGGGGCCACCCAGCUACUGGAGCUCUUUGACCUCAUCAGGUACUUUGUUCAUCGGGAAAUCUAUCCGGGCAGCAAGAUCACACACUUUGAGAGGUUGCAGCAGAAGACUGGAAUUCCUUUCUCCCAGAUGAUCUUCUUUGAUGAUGAGAGGCGGAAUAUUGUAGACAUCAGCAAACUGGGUGUUACCUGCAUUCACAUCCAGAAUGGAAUGAAUCUUCAAACUCUAAGUCAAGGGUUAGAGACAUUUGCGAAGGCCCAAACUGGGCCUUGAGGUCCAGCCUUGAGGAGAGCCCAUUUGAGGCCUAAACUGAAAGGAAAUCAAGAAGGCAUUUUCAGGGAAGAAGGAGAAAGGGCCAACCCCUGAAGAAGCAAUACAGAAACUGAAGGAGACAGAGAAGAUACUGAUCAAGAAACAGGAAUUUUUGGAGCAGAAGAUUCAACAGGAGCUACAAACAGCCAAGAAGUAUGGGAC